RNAcentral lists this ribosomal RNA (744 nucleotides) under Euglena gracilis. Its description in RNAcentral is "LSU rRNA chain 7 from Euglena gracilis (PDB 6ZJ3, chain LH)". It matches the Rfam family "Eukaryotic large subunit ribosomal RNA", at positions 1784 to 2485 of the family's 3401-position model. Lineage: Eukaryota; Euglenozoa; Euglenophyceae; Euglenales; Euglenaceae. The record is from RNAcentral.
AAGUGGCAGUCACUGGUUCCAAUGAACAGCCUGAAGGAUUCUCGUGCCUCAGGACCCUUGUGUCCGUACUGCAUCACCGCAGCCGGUCUCCUCGACUAGACGUCGCUUGUCCACGGACGAAAUGCAGCUAAGGGAAGUCGGCAAACUGGCCGUGCACCUUUGGAAGAUACGGUGGCUCCAGAGGCCAAGUCAGCAGGCCCUGUCGUGGGGGUUGUGGGAGUUACGGUCGAUCACCCUGUGGGAUGGCCUCUCGGGGCCGUUCUGCGGGGCUGUCUUCGCCGUGGCCUCUGCUUCAUCCCGGACAGGGGCAACCCUUCGGGUCCUCGUGGCCUGUAGGGCCGACCUGUUGACUAACCAGUGGCUCGUGUGGAACUGUUGCUGUGCAGGGGAAUCUGACUGUUUAAUUGAAACCCAGCUUUGUGAAGGGACCAGCUGGCUGGUUCCGUGAGGUGACUUCUGCCCAGUGCUCUGAUUGUCAAUGCGAAGAGAUUCAGCCAAGCGCGGGUAAACGGCGGGAGUAACUAUGACUCUCUUAAGGUAGCCAAAUGCCUCGUCAACCAAUUAUUGACGCGCAUGAAUGGAUCAACGAGAUUCCUGCUGUCCCUAGUCGCUGUCUGGUGAACCAACAACCAAGGGAACGGGCUUGGAUGUGUCAGCGGGGAAAGAAGACCCUGUUGAGUUUGACUCUAGUUUGAUACUGUGCAACAACAUGUGGGGCGUAGCAUAGGUGGGAGGUGAGUGCCA